This 468-nucleotide ribosomal RNA is filed under the name uncultured bacterium. Its description in RNAcentral is "partial 16S ribosomal RNA". It matches the Rfam family "Bacterial small subunit ribosomal RNA", at positions 28 to 507 of the family's 1533-position model. The record is from RNAcentral.
GAUGAACGCUGGCGGCGUGCUUAACACAUGCAAGUCGAACGGAAAGGCCCAACCUUGCUUGGGUACUCGAGUGGCGAACGGGUGAGUAACACGUGGGUGAUCUGCCCUGCACUUCGGGAUAAGCCUGGGAAACUGGGUCUAAUACCGGAUAGGACGAUGGUUUGGAUGCCAUUGUGGAAAGUUUUUUCGGUGUGGGGUAAGCUCGCGGCGUUUCAGCUUGUUUGUGGGGGAAUGGCCUACCCAGGGGUCGACGGGGAGCCGGCCGGUGAGGGGGUGAGGGCACAUUUUGGCUGAGAGACGGGCCAGAGACCUAUAGGGGGGAGCAGUGGGGAAUAUUGCGCAAUGGGGGCAAGCGUGAUGCAGCGACGCCGCGUGGGGGGUGACGGCGUUCGGGGUUUAUACUCCGUUCGCUAGUGAGGAAGCGUGUUUGUGACGGUACCUGGAGAAGAAGCACCGGCUAACUACGUG